This 552-nucleotide ribosomal RNA is filed under the name Provanna glabra. Its description in RNAcentral is "partial 16S ribosomal RNA". It matches the Rfam family "Bacterial large subunit ribosomal RNA", at positions 1798 to 2616 of the family's 2925-position model. The record is from RNAcentral. Lineage: Eukaryota; Metazoa; Mollusca; Gastropoda; Provannidae.
GCCUGUUUAUCAAAAACAUGGCUCUUUGUUAAUAUAAUAUAAGGAGUCGGACCUGCCCAGUGAUAAGAAUUUAACGGCCGCGGUACUCUGACCGUGCAAAGGUAGCAUAAUCAUUUGCCCUAUAAUUGAGGGCUGGAAUGAAUGGUUUGACAAGAGUAAUACUGUCUCUUUAAGAUUUCCCAAAAUUUAAUUUCUAGGUCAAGAAUCCUAGAUAAAAUUAAAAGACAAGAAGACCCUAUCGAGCUUUAAAAAAGAGCAUGAAAUAAAAUUAAUAUAUUAUUAUAUUUAAUGUCAUCUGAUAUUUUGGUUGGGGCGACUAAGGAACAUUUAAAGCUUCUUAUUUUAUUUUAAAACUGAUAAGUUUUGAUCCAGUUAAAUUUACUGAUUAAAAAAAUUAGUUACCGUAGGGAUAACAGCAUAAUCUCUCUUAAGAGCUCAUAUCGAAAGAGAGGUUUGUGACCUCGAUGUUGGACUAGAAUAUCCUAAAGAUGCAGAAGUCUUUGAGGGUUGGUCUGUUCGACCAUUAAAAUUCUACGUGAUCUGAGUUCAGAC